This 1350-nucleotide ribosomal RNA is filed under the name Vibrio comitans. RNAcentral's name for it is "bacterial SSU rRNA". It matches the Rfam family "Bacterial small subunit ribosomal RNA", at positions 91 to 1438 of the family's 1533-position model. The record is from RNAcentral. Lineage: Bacteria; Pseudomonadati; Pseudomonadota; Gammaproteobacteria; Vibrionales; Vibrionaceae.
UCGAGCGGCGGACGGGUGAGUAAUGCCUGGGAAAUUGCCCUGAUGUGGGGGAUAACCAUUGGAAACGAUGGCUAAUACCGCAUAACGUCUACGGACCAAAGAGGGGGACCUUCGGGCCUCUCGCUUCAGGAUAUGCCCAGGUGGGAUUAGCUAGUUGGUGAGGUAAUGGCUCACCAAGGCGACGAUCCCUAGCUGGUCUGAGAGGAUGAUCAGCCACACUGGAACUGAGACACGGUCCAGACUCCUACGGGAGGCAGCAGUGGGGAAUAUUGCACAAUGGGCGCAAGCCUGAUGCAGCCAUGCCGCGUGUAUGAAGAAGGCCUUCGGGUUGUAAAGUACUUUCAGUCGUGAGGAAGGCGUUGGAGUUAAUAGCUUCAUCGUUUGACGUUAGCGACAGAAGAAGCACCGGCUAACUCCGUGCCAGCAGCCGCGGUAAUACGGAGGGUGCGAGCGUUAAUCGGAAUUACUGGGCGUAAAGCGCAUGCAGGUGGUUUGUUAAGUCAGAUGUGAAAGCCCGGGGCUCAACCUCGGAACCGCAUUUGAAACUGGCAGGCUAGAGUACUGUAGAGGGGGGUAGAAUUUCAGGUGUAGCGGUGAAAUGCGUAGAGAUCUGAAGGAAUACCAGUGGCGAAGGCGGCCCCCUGGACAGAUACUGACACUCAGAUGCGAAAGCGUGGGGAGCAAACAGGAUUAGAUACCCUGGUAGUCCACGCCGUAAACGAUGUCUACUUGGAGGUUGUGGCCUUGAGCCGUGGCUUUCGGAGCUAACGCGUUAAGUAGACCGCCUGGGGAGUACGGUCGCAGAUUAAAACUCAAAUGAAUUGACGGGGGCCCGCACAAGCGGUGGAGCAUGUGGUUUAAUUCGAUGCAACGCGAAGAACCUUACCUACUCUUGACAUCCAGAGAAYUCGCUAGAGAUAGCUUGGUGCCUUCGGGAACUCUGAGACAGGUGCUGCAUGGCUGUCGUCAGCUCGUGUUGUGAAAUGUUGGGUUAAGUCCCGCAACGAGCGCAACCCUUAUCCUUGUUUGCCAGCACGUAAUGGUGGGAACUCCAGGGAGACUGCCGGUGAUAAACCGGAGGAAGGUGGGGACGACGUCAAGUCAUCAUGGCCCUUACGAGUAGGGCUACCACACGUCCUACAAUGGCGCAUACAGAGGGCAACAACCAGCGAUGGUGAGCGAAUCCCAAAAAGUGCGUCGUAGUCCGGAUUGGAGUCUGCAACUCGACUCCAUGAAGUCGGAAUCGCUAGUAAUCGUGAAUCAGAAUGUCACGGUGAAUACGUUCCCGGGCCUUGUACACACCGCCCGUCACACCAUGGGAGUGGGCUGCAAAAGAAGUGGGUAGUUUAA